RNAcentral lists this ribosomal RNA (253 nucleotides) under uncultured bacterium. RNAcentral's name for it is "partial 16S ribosomal RNA". It matches the Rfam family "Bacterial small subunit ribosomal RNA", at positions 524 to 776 of the family's 1533-position model. The record is from RNAcentral.
UACAGGGGGUGCAAACGUUGCUCGGAAUCAUUGGGCGUAAAGCGCACGUAGGCGGUUUGUUAUGUCGGAUGUGAAAGCCCUUGGCUCAACUGAGGAAGUGCAUCCGAACCUGGCAAGCUAGAGUACUAAAGAGGGUCGCGGAAUUCCCGGUGUAGAGGUGAAAUUCGUAGAUAUCGGGAGGAACACCGGUGGCGAAGGCGGCGACCUGGGUAGAUACUGACGCUGAGGUGCGAAAGCGUGGGGAGCAAACAGG